CCUACGGGAUGCAGCAGUGAGGAAUAUUGGUCAAUGGACGGGAGCCUGAACCAGCCAAGUAGCGUGAGGGAUGACGGUCCUACGGGUCGUAAACCGCUUUUGUCCGGGGACAACACCCGCCACUUGUGGCGGGAUGCAGGUUACCCGCAAAAAAGGGAUCGGCUAACUCCGUGCAAGCAGCCGCGGUAAUACGGAGGCUGCGAGCGGUAUCCGGAUUUAUUGGGUUGAAGGGGUGCGUAGGCGGACGGUCAAGUCAGCGGUAAAAUGUCGGGGCUCAACCCCGGCCCGAGGUUGAAACUGGUCUUCUUGAGUGAGCGACAAGCAGGCGGAAUGCGUGGUGUAGCGGUGAAAUGCAUAGAUAUCACGAAGAACCCCGAUUGCGAAGGCAGCCUACCGGGGCUCAACUGACGCUGAGGCACGAAGGCGCGGGGAUCGAACAGGAUUAGAUACCCGUGUAGUC
This 460-nucleotide ribosomal RNA is filed under the name uncultured bacterium. RNAcentral describes it as "partial 16S ribosomal RNA". It matches the Rfam family "Bacterial small subunit ribosomal RNA", at positions 338 to 795 of the family's 1533-position model. The record is from RNAcentral.